GAUUUUGAAAGCCUGCUGUGAAGAGUAAAUCCCAAGGACACAUUUGUCUUCCUGGGAAUAUAAAAGCUUGGAUCAGUAAAAUACACUGCGAGCAAAGUCAAAAGACCAUCCCCAAAAUGAGGGGAAUAGGGCAAGUAAGUGGAGCAGUUCCACCCUGAAAGUCCCUGGAAUAAAUUUUAAAAUGGUGUAUUCUUCAUUUUGAACACAGAAGCCUUUCCUGGGAAACUUUGCAAGCCACAGUGCUUGGUUGGAAACGUGACAGGCCAAAUUGCAACCAGAAUUCUGCGAUUAUAAACAGAACCAUUUUUGUUUCAGAGAAAAAAAAAACAGCGACAGAGAAAGGAAACUAAAAGAAAAAGAGGAAAUGAAUCAGUUUCGGAGCAUGAGACCUCAAGCGCACAAACAAGCUUGGGAGUGGAGGCUAUCAGCUGGAUGGGUGAAAACAGUGGAACUGACUGGAGAGAGAUAAUUUUAUGCCGAGAGCAACUGAACCUGAGAUUCUGCCCGGCACCUCUGAAAGAAGUGAGCUACCUCUAAGCCUGAAUAUCAGGAGUAAAGUCUGAGACAAUGGUAGGCGCGUUCUGGGUGCGUGAGACCUCAGACUUCGACGAUGAGUCAUAUCAGUGGUUCAUGAAUUCUACCAGUUUAUGAAUUC
Molecule: long non-coding RNA, 655 nt
Organism: Cebus imitator (Panamanian white-faced capuchin)
Lineage: Eukaryota; Metazoa; Chordata; Mammalia; Primates; Cebidae
Exons: 3
Source: RefSeq, a predicted model, not a curated record